GACGAACGCUGGCGGCGUGCUUAACACAUGCAAGUCGAACGGAAAGGCCUGUCCUUCCUUGUGUUGGACGGGUACUCGAGUGGCGAACGGGUGAGUAACACGUGAGUGAUCUGCCCCCAACUUGGGUAUAAGCCUGGGAAACUGGGUCUAAUUCCCGAUAGGACUGCAGGGUGGUGCCUGUGGUGGAAAACGAUUUUCUAGUGGUUGGGGAUGAGCUCGCGGCCUAUCAGCUUGUUGGUGGGGUAAUGGCCUACCAAGGCGGCGACGGGUAGCCGGCCUGAGAGGGUGGACGGCCACAUUGGGACUGAGAUACGGCCCAGACUCCUACGGGAGGCAGCAGUGGGGAAUAUUACACAAUGGGCGGAAGCCUGAUGCAGCGACGCCGCGUGGGGGAUGACGGCCUUCGGGUUGUAAACUCCUUUCGACCGCGAGGAAGCCGCCUGGUUGGAAGGGUGGUGACGGUAGUGGUAGAAGAAGCACUGGCUAACUACGUG
Molecule: ribosomal RNA, 494 nt
Filed under: uncultured bacterium
Lineage: Bacteria
Description: partial 16S ribosomal RNA
Rfam family: Bacterial small subunit ribosomal RNA
Source: RNAcentral